GGUCUGAGAGNAAACGGGGGGCACGCGCAACACACACAAAUCUGACGGUAGCGCACAGGNACCUNGUUCUUGGGUGACGAGUGGCGGACGGGUGAGUAAUGUCUGGGGAUCUGCCCGAUAGAGGGGGAUAACCACUGGAAACGGUGGCUAAUACCGCAUAACGUCGCAAGACCAAAGAGGGGGACCUUCGGGCCUCUCACUAUCGGAUGAACCCAGAUGGGAUUAGCUAGUAGGCGGGGUAAUGGCCCACCUAGGCGACGAUCCCUAGCUGGUCUGAGAGGAUGACCAGCCACACUGGAACUGAGACACGGUCCAGACUCCUACGGGAGGCAGCAGUGGGGAAUAUUGCACAAUGGGCGCAAGCCUGAUGCAGCCAUGCCGCGUGUAUGAAGAAGGCCUUCGGGUUGUAAAGUACUUUCAGCGGGGAGGAAGGCGGUGCGGUUAAUAACCGCGUCGAUUGACGUUACCCGCAGA
This 474-nucleotide ribosomal RNA is filed under the name Pantoea sp. HK1. RNAcentral describes it as "bacterial SSU rRNA". It matches the Rfam family "Bacterial small subunit ribosomal RNA", at positions 22 to 485 of the family's 1533-position model. The record is from RNAcentral. Lineage: Bacteria; Pseudomonadati; Pseudomonadota; Gammaproteobacteria; Enterobacterales; Erwiniaceae.